GUCUACAUCCAUGCCAUCCUGAACAAGCCGGAUCCCGUCUGAUCUCAGCAGCUAAGCAGGGUCAGGCCUGGUUAGUACUUGGAUGGGAGACUACCUAGGAAUACCAGGUGCUGUAGGUG
RNAcentral lists this ribosomal RNA (119 nucleotides) under Pteropus alecto (black flying fox). Lineage: Eukaryota; Metazoa; Chordata; Mammalia; Chiroptera; Pteropodidae. The record is from RNAcentral.